Molecule: ribosomal RNA, 603 nt
Filed under: Lactococcus lactis
Lineage: Bacteria; Bacillati; Bacillota; Bacilli; Lactobacillales; Streptococcaceae
Description: bacterial SSU rRNA
Rfam family: Bacterial small subunit ribosomal RNA
Source: RNAcentral
UACUUGUACCAACUGGAUGAGCAGCGAACGGGUGAGUAACGCGUGGGGAAUCUGCCUUUGAGCGGGGGACAACAUUUGGAAACGAAUGCUAAUACCGCAUAAAAACUUUAAACACAAGUUUUAAGUUUGAAAGAUGCAAUUGCAUCACUCAAAGAUGAUCCCGCGUUGUAUUAGCUAGUUGGUGAGGUAAAGGCUCACCAAGGCGAUGAUACAUAGCCGACCUGAGAGGGUGAUCGGCCACAUUGGGACUGAGACACGGCCCAAACUCCUACGGGAGGCAGCAGUAGGGAAUCUUCGGCAAUGGACGAAAGUCUGACCGAGCAACGCCGCGUGAGUGAAGAAGGUUUUCGGAUCGUAAAACUCUGUUGGUAGAGAAGAACGUUGGUGAGAGUGGAAAGCUCAUCAAGUGACGGUAACUACCCAGAAAGGGACGGCUAACUACGUGCCAGCAGCCGCGGUAAUACGUAGGUCCCGAGCGUUGUCCGGAUUUAUUGGGCGUAAAGCGAGCGCAGGUGGUUUAUUAAGUCUGGUGUAAAAGGCAGUGGCUCAACCAUUGUAUGCAUUGGAAACUGGUAGACUUGAGUGCAGGAGAGGAGAGUGGAA